CCCGCGGCCUGGCGUGCGGCGCGUCCACCUCCAGCAGGUGCACCGGAGUGCGGUGGCGCAGGUCGCCGUCCGGGCCGGCGCCGCGGGU
Molecule: transfer RNA, 88 nt
Filed under: Sphaerisporangium rufum
Lineage: Bacteria; Bacillati; Actinomycetota; Actinomycetes; Streptosporangiales; Streptosporangiaceae
Description: tRNA-Leu
Source: RNAcentral